CCUACGGGUGGCAGCAGUGAGGAAUAUUGGUCAAUGGACGAGAGUCUGAACCAGCCAAGUAGCGUGAAGGAUGACUGCCCUAUGGGUUGUAAACUUCUUUUAUAUGGGAAUAAAAUGUUCCACGUGUGGGAUUUUGUAUGUACCAUAUGAAUAAGGAUCGACUAACUCCGUGCCAGCAGCCGCGGUAAUACGGAGGAUCCGAGCGUUAUCCGGAUUUAUUGGGUUUAAAGGGAGCGUAGGUGGAUUGUUAAGUCAGUUGUGAAAGUUUGCGGCUCAACCGUAAAAUUGCAGUUGAUACUGGCAGUCUUGAGUACAGUAGAGGUGGGCGGAAUUCGUGGUGUAGCGGUGAAAUGCUUAGAUAUCACGAAGAACUCCGAUUGCGAAGGCAGUUCACUGGACUGCAACUGACACUGAGGCUCGAAAGUGUGGGUAUCAAACAGGAUUAGAUACCCCAGUAGUC
This 460-nucleotide ribosomal RNA is filed under the name uncultured bacterium. RNAcentral describes it as "partial 16S ribosomal RNA". It matches the Rfam family "Bacterial small subunit ribosomal RNA", at positions 338 to 795 of the family's 1533-position model. The record is from RNAcentral.